Branchiostoma floridae (Florida lancelet) is the source of this 581-nucleotide long non-coding RNA. RefSeq lists it as uncharacterized. The record is from RefSeq and is a predicted model, not a curated record. The transcript has 4 exons. Lineage: Eukaryota; Metazoa; Chordata; Leptocardii; Amphioxiformes; Branchiostomatidae.
CAGUGUGGUCCUCCCGCACCAGGACGGCCCGUCCCAUGAAGACGAAGGUGCCGUACAAGUCGCUGUAGUGAACCUCACACGGAACCUGACAGAUAGGGAACACAUCUAUGUCACACUUUGGGCGGUGAACAAGGUUGGAUUGCACAGCAUUGUGGUCCAUGAAGCCCUGGAAGUGGUUCCGUCUAACCCGCACAGCGGCCUCCUGUCAUUGGUCAGACGAUGUGACGUACAUACUUGUGAGGGCGACUGCACAUGCGCACCACAGAACCAGAAAUGUGCUCCACUUCUCACCGGAUGUCAAAACGUCGCAAACCGUACAGAGUAUCAGCAGGUUCUUGUGUACGACCUGACGGACUUGAGUAGUCAAACAGCACCCGACGCUGACGUCACACUGUCGCAAUGCACUCUGGGCGCAAGAUGGGAAACGGUACCGGGAGGUAUACCUGUUCAAAGGUGUGAGUGGAGUGCCGGACAGGAGGGAAAGGCAGCAGGUACCGGGGUGUUUGAUUUAAAUAACGACAGGAUCUGGUACGACGUGGGACUGAGAACUUCAGCCGUGCUGAGCAUCAGGCGGGACAGAC